Non-coding RNA from Vicia faba (fava bean), 204 nucleotides. NCBI's taxonomy places the organism in Eukaryota, Viridiplantae, Streptophyta, Magnoliopsida, Fabales, Fabaceae. The record is from the annotation of a GenBank genome assembly.
AUGUGUCAGUUCUUCCUAGGUGUCCAGCCAUUCCAUGUGAUAGCAUAUCCACUUGACCCAAUACUUGAUCUAGAAAUUAACCCUGCAUUGCAUCACUUUAAACUAAUUCCGGCGCAAAACGAUCAGCCCUGCCCUGUUUCAAAACAUUGUAAUAUGUCCGAAAACCUGCAUAAGAAAAAAAAUCAGAAAAAAAAUCAGAAAUAA